AUGGAAGAAACAGAUGUGAUGUCCCCUGAAUUAUAUGAGAAGAAGGUUGAUAUCCUAGCAGAAUUAUACAAUCUGUUAGUGGAAGAGGAGGUUGCUUGGGUGCAAAAAUCUCAUGAAAACUGGUUGUUGAAAGGGGACAGAAACACUGAUUAUUUCCACAAAAUUGUGAAUGGGAGAAGACAGAGAAACACUAUCUUUUCCCUUAGUUGCGGGGACGAGGUAAUCGAAGGGAACAGUAACCUCUUGAAACAUGGCACAAACUUUUAUAAGGACCUUUUUGGGCCGGCAGCUGGAAACUUAUGUAAAAUGAGGGAGAAUAUGUGGGAAUCACAUGGGAAAUUGACAGACAUUGACAACUUUAUCCUCACAAGACACAUCUCUGAAACAGAAAUUAAGAAUGCUUUAUUUUCCAUGAAACCAAAUAAAGCUCCAGGUCCAAAUAAUAUCCCCAUCGAGUUUUUCCAACACUGUUGGGAGGUAGUUAAAGGUGAAGUGAUACUGUUAUUCGACUGGUUUCAUGAUAAUAAACUUCAUGUGUAG
RNAcentral lists this ribosomal RNA (540 nucleotides) under Triticum aestivum (bread wheat). RNAcentral describes it as "partial small subunit ribosomal RNA". Lineage: Eukaryota; Viridiplantae; Streptophyta; Magnoliopsida; Poales; Poaceae. The record is from RNAcentral.